AACAAGCAAUACCAACGUGAAUCCCUGCAAAUGAAAAUAAGAUGAUAAACAAUAGAUUAUGGAUUUGUGUAGAAGAAGUAUUUAGUGAUCACCCCACCUGGCCUUGGUUAACAUAGAUUGAAAAAAAAAAGGCACGACUUCUACUGUAUGAAUAACCAAAACAGGUCGGGACAGGAAAGCAAUAGUCAGUAUAAAUCUUUAAGGGGAUUGUCAUUUACUCCAAAUAGAAAGAGACCUCUGUUGUUUACAGACAAAUCAGAAAAAUAAGAACAGCAUAAUCACUCAAAUACACAAAGCAAUGUCUUCAACAGGACAUGCAGCCAUGGAAUGAAAUAACGGUAUUUACAGGAGUUUUCAACUACUGUUACCGAUAUAGCCGUUAUUUAACGGCGAAAAAAA
RNAcentral lists this unclassified non-coding RNA (399 nucleotides) under Hevea brasiliensis (rubber tree). The record is from RNAcentral. Lineage: Eukaryota; Viridiplantae; Streptophyta; Magnoliopsida; Malpighiales; Euphorbiaceae.